UGUGGUUAUAAUAGCGGAGAAGAUACACCUGUUUCCAUUCCGAACACAGAAGUUAAGUUCUCUAGCGCUGAUGGUAUUUGGUGGGAAACUGCCUGGGAGAGUAGGACAUAGCCACGU
RNAcentral lists this ribosomal RNA (117 nucleotides) under Clostridioides difficile. The record is from RNAcentral. Lineage: Bacteria; Bacillati; Bacillota; Clostridia; Peptostreptococcales; Peptostreptococcaceae.